RNAcentral lists this ribosomal RNA (483 nucleotides) under uncultured bacterium. RNAcentral describes it as "partial 16S ribosomal RNA". It matches the Rfam family "Bacterial small subunit ribosomal RNA", at positions 30 to 507 of the family's 1533-position model. The record is from RNAcentral.
AUUGAACGCUGGCGGCAGGCCUAACACAUGCAAGUCGAGCGGAUGAAGGGAGCUUGCUCCUGGAUUCAGCGGCGGACGGGUGAGUAAUGCCUAGGAAUCUGCCUGGUAGUGGGGGAUAACGUCCGGAAACGGGCGCUAAUACCGCAUACGUCCUGAGGAGGAAGGGGGGGGACUUCGGACCUCACGCUAUCAGAUGAGCCUAGGUCGGAUUAGCUAGUUGGUGGGGUAAAGGCCUACCAAGGCGACGAUCCGUAACUGGUCUGAGAGGAUGAUCAGUCACACUGGAACUGAGACACGGUCCAGACUCCUACGGGAGGCAGCAGUGGGGAAUAUUGGACAAUGGGCGAAAGCCUGAUCCAGCCAUGCCGCGUGUGUGAAGAAGGUCUUCGGAUUGUAAAGCACUUUAAGUUGGGAGGAAGGGCAGUAAGUUAAUACCUUGCUGUUUUGACGUUACCAACAGAAUAAGCACCGGCUAACUUCGUG